This 1052-nucleotide long non-coding RNA is filed under the name Gallus gallus (chicken). Its description in RNAcentral is "lncRNA (ENSGALG00010002184.1)". Lineage: Eukaryota; Metazoa; Chordata; Aves; Galliformes; Phasianidae. The record is from RNAcentral.
GAAGUAGGAAAUACCCCUGCCAAAUUUAAGGAUGACAUCAAACCAGUGCCAUACAGAAGGUCCUGAACAGACUGAAUGAAUGAACCUUGUGAAACCAAGCAAUUUCAAAUGCCAAGUACUCGAGGGAAGGAGAAGCCCCUGCAAUGUUGUGUUAGGCACAGCACUGCUAACUGGUCAAUGAAAAUGGCUCUCCUGGACUCUGGGUAUGUGUACAGAAUGAGUAUGAGAGGCUGGAGAGCAGCUCCAAGGGAAGAGAUCUGGGGGUUCUGAGUGAUGAAAGUUGAACAAAAAUCAGCAGUGAGCCCUGGACAGCCAAAAGGGCCAAGCACAUCUUGAGCCAGUGUAGUUGAGUCAGAAGGUUCAACUUCUACUACCAUACCACUGCCUGCUUCUGACAUCAUGGGCAACAUGACAAAAUAGGAGGUUAAUAUCAUUUAAAAAUAAUGCAGGAGAUAUUUAAAGCACAUCAGAAGUACAGAGGACUCUUUUUGCAAGUUGAUACCUUCAAAGAAUCCCAAAUCCCUCAAAAGUGAAUUAUAUGGUAUAAAUAAGGUCAGAUAAGAGGCAAUAAAGACUGGUUUUAAUCAUUUAGGAAGAACAGUGUCAGAUGAAGAAAGAAAAAGAUGUGUUAUCUACACAUAUGAAAGACUCAAAUAAAUAAGGAAAUACCUUCAGGAAGCAAUAAGAAGGAUGACACAUACAUGCAGAAAGAUAAGAAGAUGGAUAAAUGGAAGUUCAUACCAAGCAGUGAUACGCUCAGGUUGCUAUUAUGGAUGGUCCUGCUUCAGCACAAGUGAAACAAACAAAACAAUAGCAACCAAAAACACAUAGAGAAAUCCAAACAUCUCUGUGGAGAAAAUGACCAGAUUGACAGUUUUUAGGUAAUAGGAGUCCUGAAUAAUGGGGAGUCACAGAAAAACGUCAUGAUCUUCUGUUAAUUUUAUAAUGAAACAGAAUGAUAGUAGGUUAUGUUAUGUUUGGAAGGCUUUCUUAAUUUGCCUGUGCUUCUAUUAUUUGAGAACAUAAACUACAAACUUCCUCCAUUCUAUCAU